Molecule: ribosomal RNA, 253 nt
Filed under: uncultured bacterium
Lineage: Bacteria
Description: partial 16S ribosomal RNA
Rfam family: Archaeal small subunit ribosomal RNA
Source: RNAcentral
UACCAGCACCCCGAGUGGUCGGGACGAUUAUUGGGCCUAAAGCAUCCGUAGCCGGUUUUACAAGUCCCCCGUUAAAUCCACCUGCUUAACAGAUGGGCUGCGGAGGAUACUAUAGAGCUAGGAGGCGGGAGAGGCAAGCGGUACUUAGUGGGUAGGGGUAAAAUCCGUUGAUCCAAUGAAGACCACCAGUGGCGAAGGCGGCUUGCCAGAACGCACUCGACGGUGAGGGAUGAAAGCUGGGGGAGCAAACCGG